This 1469-nucleotide ribosomal RNA is filed under the name uncultured bacterium. Its description in RNAcentral is "bacterial SSU rRNA". It matches the Rfam family "Bacterial small subunit ribosomal RNA". The record is from RNAcentral.
AGAGUUUGAUCCUGGCUCAGGAUGAAUGCUGGCGGCGUGGAUAAGGCAUGCAAGUCGUGCGGUCCUGCUUUUUGCAGGAUAGCGGCAAACGGGUUAGUAAUACAUGGGUAACAUACCCCCGGCCCGGCCAUAACUUAGAGAAAUCUAAGCUAAUAGCCGAUGGUCUCUGAUGGUGCAAACCAGAAGAGUAAAGGUUAUCCGCAGGGAUAACUGGCCGGGGAUUGGCUCAUGGCCCAUCAGGUAGUUGGUAGGGUAAUGGCCUACCAAGCCGAUGACGGGUAGGGGGGCUGAGAGGCUGUUCCCCAACAAGGGCACUGAGACACGGGCCCUACUCCUACGGGAGGCAGCAGUCGAGAAUCUUCCGCAAUGGGCGAAAGCCUGACGGAGCGACGCCGCGUGCGGGAAGAAGGUCUUCGGAUUGUAAACCGCUUUUCCACCUGAGGAAACUUGCUUUUAGCAAGUUGACAGUAAGGUGGGAAUAAGGGGUUGCUAACUCUGUGCCAGCAGCAGCGGUAAUACAGAGACCCCGAGCAUUAUCCGGAUUUACUGGGCGUAAAGAGUCUUAAGGCGUCCUAUUAAGUUUUCUGCUAAAUUUCACGGCUCAACCGCGAAAGCACAGAAAAAACUAAUAGGAUAGAGGACGCUAGAGGCCAAUGGAACAGCCGGUGUAGGGGUAAAAUCCGUUGAUAUCGGCUGGAACACCGAAAGCGAAGGCAGUUGGCUGGGGCGUUCCUGACGCUGAAUGACGAAAGCGUGGGGAUAGAACGGGAUUAGAUACCCCGGUAUUCCACGCCCUAAACGAUGGAUGCUAGCUGGUGGAAGUGUCGACCCUUUCACUGGCGAAGCUUACGCGUUAAGCAUCCCGCCUGGGAAGUACGGCCGCAAGGCUAAAACUCAAAGGAAUAGACGGGGAGACACACAAGCGGUGGAUCACGUGGCUUAAUUCGACAACAAGCGAGGAACCUUACCAGGGCUUGACAUUCCGGUUAUCACUUCGCCGAAAGGCGGAGUUCCGCAAGGAAGCCGGAACAGGUGCUGCAUGGUUGUCGUCAGCAGGUGGCGUGAGCUGCUCCCUUAAAUGGGGAAACCUGCGAAAUCCUCGGCCAAUGUUUUACGUGUCAUUGGCGACUGCCGUGGUUAACACGGAGGAAGGUGGGGACGACGUCAAAUCAGCAUGGCUCUUACGUCCUGGGCUGCACACGUGAUACAAUGGUCGGUACAAAGAGUUGCAACACCGUAAGGUGAAGCCAAUCUCUUAAAACCGAUCUCAGUUCGGAUCGAGGUCUGAAACCCGACCUCGUGAAGCCGGAAUCGCUAGUAAUCGUGGAUCAGCCAUGCCACGAUGAAUAUGUUACUGUCUCUUGUACUCACCGCCCGUCAAGUCAGGAAAGUUGGUAAUACCCAAAGUCCCUAUUUAUUAGGGCCGAAGGUAGGACCAGCGAUCAGGGCUAAGUCGUAACAAGGUAACC